AGAGUUUGAUCAUGGCUCAGCGCGAACGCUGGCGGCAUGGCUAAAACAUGCAAGUCGAACGAUUAAAGCCCCCUUCGGGGGGUGUAUAAAGUGGCGAAAGGGCGAGGAAUAUAUUUCUAACGUGCCCUCGGAUCAGGGAUAGCCCGGGGAAACCUGGUGUAAUACCUGAUGAUCCCUGUUGACCGUAUGGUCUUUAGGGCAAAGGUCCGCCGUCCGAGGAUCGGGAAAUAUGCUAUCAGCUUGUUGGUGAGGUAAUGGCUCACCAAGGCUUAGACGGCUAGCGGGUGUGAGAGCAUGACCCGCCGCAUCGGGACUGAGACACUGCCCGGACUCCUUCGGGAGGCUGCAGUAACGAAUAUUCCGCAAUGCGCGAAAGCGUGACGGAGCAAUGCCGCGUGAAGGACGAAGCCCCUCGGGGUGUAAACUUCUGUCAGGACCUAGGAAGAUCUGACCAGGUCCAGAGGAAGGGCCGGCUAAGUUCGUGCCAGCAGCCGCGGUAAUACGAACGGCCCGAGCGUUGCGCGGAAUCAUUGGGCUUAAAGGGUGCGUAGGCGGAUCUGCAAGUACUUUGUGAAAGCCCCCGGCUCAACCGGGGAAUUGCUUGGUAGACUGCAAAUCUUGAGAUUGGUAGGGGUGGUCGGAACAGUAGGUGGAGCGGUGAAAUGCAUAGAUAUCUACUGGAACGCCAAAGGUGAAGACAGGCCACUGGGCCAAUUCUGACGCUGAGGCACGAAAGCGUGGGGAGCGAACGGGAUUAGAUACCCCGGUAGUCCACGCCCUAAACGAUGUGCACUAAAUCCCGGAGGUUUUGACGCCCUCGGGGUUGCAGCGAAAGCAUUAAGUGCACCGCCUGGGGAGUACGGUCGCAAGGCUAAAACUCAAAGGAAUUGACGGGGGCUCACACAAGCGGUGGAGCAUGUGGCUUAAUUCGAAGCAACGCGAAGAACCUUAUCCAGGGUUUGACAUGUACGGAUUAGCUGGGAGAAACCUCAGUGACACUCUUGUAGUGGAACGUACACAGGUGCUGCAUGGCUGUCGUCAGCUCGUGCCGUGAGGUGUUAGGUUAAGUCCUUCAACGAGCGAAACCCUUGCCGUUAGUUGCCAGCGAGUAAUGUCGGGGACUCUAGCGGGACUGCCGGUGUUAAACCGGAGGAAGGUGGGGAUGACGUCAAGUCCUCAUGGCCUUUAUGCCCUGGGCUGCACACGUGCUACAAUGGUAACUACAGAGCGAAGCGAUAUCGCAAGGUGGAGCAAAUCGCAAAAAAGUUGCCUCAGUUCGGAUUGGGGUCUGCAAUUCGACCCCAUGAAGGCGGAAUCGCUAGUAAUCGCGUAUCAGCUACGACGCGGUGAAUACGUUCCUGAGCCUUGUAGACACCGCCCGUA
This 1383-nucleotide ribosomal RNA is filed under the name uncultured bacterium. Its description in RNAcentral is "bacterial SSU rRNA". It matches the Rfam family "Bacterial small subunit ribosomal RNA". The record is from RNAcentral.